This 200-nucleotide ribosomal RNA is filed under the name uncultured bacterium. RNAcentral describes it as "partial 16S ribosomal RNA". It matches the Rfam family "Bacterial small subunit ribosomal RNA", at positions 28 to 238 of the family's 1533-position model. The record is from RNAcentral.
GAUGAACGCUAGCGGCAGGCUUAAUACAUGCAAGGCGAAGGGGCAGCAAUGUCACUGUCGUACGGGUGCGUAACGCGUAUGCAACCUACCUAUCACUGGGGGAUAGCCCGGGGGAAACCCGGAUUAAUACCGCAUAACACAGGGGCUCCUCAUGGAGAUAUUUAGUUAAAGAUUUAUCGGUGGUAGAUGGGCAUGCGUUC